AAGGAGUUAGUUUAAUAAACAUUUAAUUGUCAAAUAAAAAUUGCACAAAAUGCACUUCUUG
This 61-nucleotide transfer RNA is filed under the name Cerynia lineola. RNAcentral describes it as "tRNA-Asp". Lineage: Eukaryota; Metazoa; Arthropoda; Insecta; Hemiptera; Flatidae. The record is from RNAcentral.